Long non-coding RNA from Salvia miltiorrhiza (redroot sage), 634 nucleotides. RefSeq lists it as uncharacterized. The record is from RefSeq and is a predicted model, not a curated record. The transcript is spliced from 3 exons. Lineage: Eukaryota; Viridiplantae; Streptophyta; Magnoliopsida; Lamiales; Lamiaceae.
ACCAUAUGCCACAACUUUAUAGCUUUUUGUUGAGACACCUCAUUCACCACCAUACCUUUCAAUCAUACCAUUCUCUGCAAUCAUACCAUACACCUCAUUCAUCACCAUACCUUUCUCUACAAAGUCAUUUCACUUCAAUAAAGGAUCUAUCUUUUCCCUCACUUAGCAUUUUCGAUCAAUCUCAUUUCUCCCUCAAGUUACUCUCUAGUUCCAACAAACCCAAAGAAAUCCAAGUGCAGAGCUCAGCCAUAUUGCGAAUGGAUCAAAUUGCCACAAAACUCAGAUUUCAGCAACUCAAACCAGAGGCUUUGAGCAAUCAAAAGGAUUAGCACUGCUAUUCCGAUUCAGAGAUAAGGUUAAACGACAGGCUUUGCCUAUCCAGGUUGAGCAGUUGAUGGAAUGGAAUGAUGUUGAGCGGGUGUUCCUUUGACAUUUCAAGAAAUAUAACCUUGAGUAUACAUCUUCAUAUGUAUAUCUCACACGUUUUUCCGCUGCAAAACACUUUGAUUAGGAUAACUUUAUGUUAUGAAAUUGUGACACGUGUUAUUGGGUAAACCACCUUAAUCAGUUCUCUUUUAUGUGUAUGUUUUAUAAGUAUCCAAAUGAUCAUAUAUGAUCCUAGCUUUUUAUCUAU